GAUGAACGCUGGCGGCGUGCCUAAUACAUGCAAGUCGAGCGAACAGAUGAGGAGCUUGCUCCUCUGACGUUAGCGGCGGACGGGUGAGUAACACGUGGAUAACCUACCUAUAAGACUGGGAUAACUUCGGGAAACCGGAGCUAAUACCGGAUAAUAUAUUGAACCGCAUGGUUCAAUAGUGAAAGACGGUUUUGCUGUCACUUAUAGAUGGAUCCGCGCCGCAUUAGCUAGUUGGUAAGGUAACGGCUUACCAAGGCAACGAUGCGUAGCCGACCUGAGAGGGUGAUCGGCCACACUGGAACUGAGACACGGUCCAGACUCCUACGGGAGGCAGCAGUAGGGAAUCUUCCGCAAUGGGCGAAAGCCUGACGGAGCAACGCCGCGUGAGUGAUGAAGGUCUUCGGAUCGUAAAACUCUGUUAUUAGGGAAGAACAAAUGAGUAAGUAACUAUGCACGUCUUGACGGUACCUAAUCAGAAAGCCACGGCUAACUACGUG
This 497-nucleotide ribosomal RNA is filed under the name uncultured bacterium. RNAcentral's name for it is "partial 16S ribosomal RNA". It matches the Rfam family "Bacterial small subunit ribosomal RNA", at positions 28 to 507 of the family's 1533-position model. The record is from RNAcentral.